Homo sapiens (human) is the source of this 9081-nucleotide RNA transcript. It is a transcript of the gene named general transcription factor IIIC subunit 4, with no coding region annotated. The record is from RefSeq and is marked validated. The transcript is spliced from 6 exons. NCBI's taxonomy places the organism in Eukaryota, Metazoa, Chordata, Mammalia, Primates, Hominidae.
CUUCCGGGUCCGGAACGGCUCCAGCUGUACGGACUCGUCCCGAGGGGAGCCGGGGACGGCGGCACCGGGCGGGUAGGGACAAGACUACCGCGCGUGCCCCCGCCUGGUGGCAGCCCCUCUCUGCGUCCCUCGCGGCCUGGCAAAAUUACAUUCGGCCGAGAGUUCACGCUGGGGAAGCUCUCUGAAUGCCUCUGAGAAGCGAGAUCCGGCGCCAUCUCACCGACGAGCCUCCCCUUUACCGCCCCGUGCGUUUCCUCAGCACUUUAGGAACUAAAGCCUGUCUGGGUAGCUCCCUAACAGGCUCUGGAGCUCAAUCCCUGGGCAGGGAAAAGGGGGUCCUCGGGGCUCCCCGCUCGCUGUCCUUUUUCUGGACAGGCAGUUCCUUGGCCACCUGGUAGGGCCGCGUUGCCUGGCAACGGCGGGGUCCUUCUUGGCUCGGCGGCGCUCGGGGCCUGAGGGGAGAAAACCGCCGCGGAGGGCGCUGGGGGUGGCGGCGGCGGUCCGGGAGGUGGUCGCGCGACUGCGUGGAGCGCCAGGGCGUCCGACCUCUGCACCUGAGAGAAGAUGAACACGGCCGACCAGGCCCGGGUGGGGCCCGCGGACGACGGGCCUGCGCCGUCUGGGGAGGAGGAGGGAGAGGGGGGCGGCGAGGCGGGCGGGAAGGAGCCAGCAGCGGACGCGGCCCCGGGGCCCAGCGCUGCAUUCCGCCUCAUGGUGACUCGGCGGGAGCCGGCCGUGAAGCUGCAGUAUGCGGUGAGCGGCCUGGAACCGCUGGCUUGGUCCGAGGACCACCGCGUGUCUGUGUCCACGGCCCGCAGCAUCGCUGUGCUGGAGCUCAUCUGCGACGUGCACAACCCGGGCCAGGACCUGGUUAUCCACCGCACCUCGGUGCCCGCACCGCUCAACAGCUGUCUCCUCAAAGUUGGCUCAAAAACAGAAGUUGCUGAGUGCAAGGAGAAAUUCGCCGCCUCCAAGGACCCCACGGUCAGUCAGACUUUCAUGUUGGAUAGGGUGUUCAACCCUGAGGGGAAGGCUUUACCACCAAUGAGAGGAUUCAAGUACACCAGCUGGUCUCCCAUGGGUUGCGAUGCUAAUGGCAGGUGCCUCUUGGCAGCACUGACCAUGGACAAUCGCCUGACCAUCCAGGCAAAUCUCAACAGACUGCAGUGGGUCCAGCUGGUUGACCUGACUGAGAUCUAUGGAGAACGUCUUUAUGAGACCAGUUACAGGCUCUCUAAAAAUGAGGCCCCGGAAGGAAAUCUCGGGGAUUUUGCUGAGUUUCAGAGGAGACACAGCAUGCAGACCCCAGUCAGAAUGGAGUGGUCGGGCAUCUGUACCACCCAGCAGGUCAAGCAUAACAACGAAUGCCGGGACGUUGGCAGUGUGCUCCUGGCUGUCCUCUUUGAAAACGGUAAUAUCGCCGUGUGGCAGUUUCAGCUGCCGUUUGUAGGAAAAGAAUCCAUCUCUUCAUGCAACACAAUUGAGUCAGGAAUCACCUCUCCCAGUGUAUUGUUUUGGUGGGAAUAUGAGCACAAUAAUCGAAAAAUGAGUGGCCUUAUUGUGGGGAGUGCUUUUGGACCCAUAAAAAUUCUUCCUGUCAAUCUCAAAGCAGUCAAAGGCUAUUUCACUUUAAGGCAGCCUGUUAUCUUGUGGAAAGAAAUGGACCAGUUACCUGUGCACAGUAUCAAAUGUGUGCCACUUUAUCAUCCUUACCAGAAGUGUAGUUGCAGCUUAGUAGUGGCUGCAAGAGGCUCUUAUGUAUUUUGGUGUCUUCUUCUGAUCUCCAAAGCAGGGCUGAAUGUUCACAAUUCCCAUGUCACAGGCCUUCACUCACUGCCAAUUGUCUCCAUGACUGCAGACAAACAGAAUGGAACAGUCUAUACUUGCUCCAGUGACGGAAAGGUGAGGCAGCUGAUUCCCAUUUUCACAGAUGUUGCAUUGAAGUUUGAACACCAGUUGAUUAAACUCUCAGAUGUGUUUGGCUCAGUGAGGACUCACGGGAUAGCAGUGAGCCCCUGCGGUGCAUACCUGGCCAUCAUCACCACUGAGGGCAUGAUCAACGGCCUCCACCCUGUUAACAAAAACUACCAGGUCCAAUUUGUUACUCUCAAAACCUUUGAAGAGGCAGCUGCUCAGCUCCUGGAAUCUUCAGUUCAAAACCUUUUUAAGCAGGUAGAUUUAAUAGACCUAGUACGCUGGAAGAUUUUAAAAGAUAAACAUAUCCCUCAAUUUUUACAAGAAGCUUUGGAAAAAAAGAUUGAAAGCAGUGGAGUCACCUAUUUUUGGCGUUUUAAGCUUUUCCUCCUGAGGAUUUUAUAUCAGUCAAUGCAGAAAACCCCUUCAGAAGCCUUGUGGAAACCCACCCAUGAGGACUCAAAAAUCUUACUAGUGGAUUCGCCUGGGAUGGGCAAUGCUGACGAUGAACAGCAGGAAGAAGGCACUUCUUCCAAACAGGUGGUGAAGCAAGGCCUGCAGGAGAGGAGCAAGGAAGGAGAUGUAGAGGAGCCCACUGAUGACUCGCUCCCCACGACUGGAGAUGCUGGAGGCCGUGAGCCAAUGGAAGAGAAACUCCUGGAAAUCCAAGGGAAAAUCGAAGCUGUGGAGAUGCACUUGACCAGGGAACACAUGAAGCGAGUCUUAGGAGAAGUGUAUCUGCACACCUGGAUCACAGAAAACACUAGCAUCCCCACCCGCGGACUCUGUAACUUUUUAAUGUCUGAUGAAGAGUAUGAUGACAGAACUGCACGGAACUCUGAAAUCCUUGUUUCAGAAGCAACUAAAACAAGGUGCUGAUUGGACAUAUCUCAAAGAAGAUGAACAAACAGACUUUCCCUGAGCACUGUAGUUUGUGUAAAGAGAUCUUGCCAUUCACAGAUCGCAAACAGGCAGUCUGUUCCAAUGGCCACAUUUGGCUCCGGUGCUUCUUAACCUACCAGUCCUGCCAGAGUUUGAUAUAUAGAAGGUGUUUGCUCCAUGACAGCAUUGCCCGGCAUCCAGCUCCAGAAGAUCCCGACUGGAUUAAGAGGUUACUGCAAAGCCCCUGCCCUUUCUGUGAUUCUCCUGUCUUCUAAAUAAUCAGUGACGGGAAGAUGGAAGGGCAUGAUGAACUCUGCCAUAGAAAACUUCCUCCAGCCUGAAGAGAAGGAUGCACUGGAGGAAGCCGGACCCUCACGAGUGGAGAGAAGUCCUUGGUGAUUGUAAAGAGGGCCCCUGGAGCUCAUUUCUGAAUCGCACUCUCCAUUUCCAGAGACUAAAGGAUGUCCUUUGAAAUGGCUGGACUCAGAGAGUUGGAGUCGUUUUGAGAUGAGCAUUAGCCCCAGCUUUGUAACCAAUGAGGAACACUUACUUAUUUUUAAGUAUCUUGACAGAAGCAAUUUGAACACAGUGUCCCGUCAUUUCUAGAAACAGAAUGGUCUCUUCUAGAGAGCUUGGAUAAGGACCUUGCUGGGUUGAGUUAGGUUUUAAUCCUUGCUUUGGUUUGGAACUGCCUUCGGGCUCCAGAACUUAAAUUGCUUGGUCCGUGGCAUCUGAUGUACCAACAGAGAUUAAAAGUGUAAAGCAACACAUGGGCUGAUGUUUUGUUCUCAGAAAAUAGCUGCUGGUCUGCAUCCCUCCAUUCUUGUUUUUUAUGCAUAUGGAAAACAUUUUCCUAAAACUCUAUAUUCUUAAGUUGAAGCCAAGACUAAAAUUUAAUGUGUCAAAUGAUCUGGUGACUAUUAUAAUGAAUAAUUGUGACUUAUUUUUCAUUCUCUCCUGGGUCAUCAGGUUUCCUGACCCAACUCCUUAAUCCGUAUAAAGAUGUCAAAUACUGUAGUUCACCCACGCCACAGCCCUGCUUCAGACUUAACUGUGGUAGCCUAGAUGAGCUAUUUGUACACAGAGGAAAAAAAGAUAUUUUCCUCUUUUAGUAAUAAGACUUUCAGUAUUUUUAAUGUUGACAUUUCCAGAUGUUUCAUUUAGUAUCCAGGGGUCUGUCUGGAGACUUCUAGAGAGGGACAGCUCAGAAGUGAGACCCUUGAGCUCUGGUGCUGUAAGCUUGUGCAAUUAAGUUGAACAGAGCCUGGGAAUUUCUUUCCUCUGCACAGUCCCUUGAUAUUUGGAAUCCAGGUUCUGCCCCCAACCCCUACCCACCCAGUGGUCUGUUAAGAUGUCUCAGAUGGGGCUGGGCUUGGUGGCUCAUGCCUGUACUCUCAACACUUUGGGAAGCAAAGGCAGGCAGAUCACAAGGUCAGGAGUUCAGCCUAACCAACAUGGUGAAACCGUGUCUCUACUAAAAAUACAAAAAUUAGCCAGGCGUGGUGGUGCACACCUGUAAUCCCAGCACUUUGGGAGGCCGAGGCAGACGGGUCACUUGAGGCCAGGAGUUCGAGACCAGCCUGGGCAAUAUGGCGAGACUCCGUCUCUACUACAAAUACAAAAGUUAGCCUGGCAUGGUGGCGCAUGCCUGUAAUCUCAGUUACUCAGGAGGCUGAGGCAGGAGCAUCACUUCAACCCAGGAGGCAGAAGCUGCAGUCAGCCGAGGUGGCACCACUGCACUUCAGCCUGGGCAAGACUGGAGACUGCCUCAAAAAAAAAAGAAAAAAAAUGUUGGUACUUAGAUGAUACCAUGACGGCAACCUCCCCACCCCCACCCCGCAUUGAUAGGUAGUGCAGACCAGCCCUUGGAGGCACUUCUAAACAGUCUGCUCAGAAAUGUUUUCUGUUUCCUAUUCAAAUUGCUGUUUUGUCUCCUAUGUUUAAUCAUGUAUUUGCUAUUCUGCUUAUUUUUCUCAUUUGGUGGUAAUUUCAAGAAGAGCGUUUAUCCACUAUUGAUUUUCAAGAAAGAAACCAAGCAGCAUUGAAAUCAUGAGUAACAGAAUUCAGAACAUUGUAUGGUGGAAGUCAUUUGUGUCUGCAGCUGUUUUUUCACUUUACAAUAAAUAAGAGUAAAAAUUGAGAUCAUGUCAAAAAAUUAUUGCAGUUUUAAUCAUUAUGGCAUAGUUUCACUUCCCCUCCCCCCAUUAGAAUCAGUGGAGAUUUGUUCUUACUAGGGAAUUUUGGACUGCUGCCAUUUAAAACUUAGGUUUUUAUUUAAAGCAGUUGUGCAUUUUUGAGAAAAUGUAUUGGGAGUAACUAGAGAGGAUCUCCCAAAUUUUUUUGUAUGUCUCUCUAGGAGUAAACAUGGCAACAGUUUUUCUAGAACGUGGACUCACUGCAGGGACUGGACCCAAUGGCAUUGUUAAGACCCUAAAAUCUAGCCACCACCUGCCUCCCCCAGGUUUCCACACACCCAGUUGGAAGGCCUUUCCCUGCCCUUGUCCCUGUCUCACACCCAUGGAGGUUAAGCUACAGAGCUGGGGAAACAGGAGAUUUUGAGUUAAUGGCAGCCUCACAAAUAGUGCUUCUGAAUUUCUCUGAGGGUCAGCAUACCUCAUGGGAGUGUGUUGCUCAGUGCAACCUUGGAAAAGUGGGAAUGGCACCAGACGUUUUUCAGGUGCCUCUUGCAAUUCAAACUUACAUCCUCUAUACCGUCCUAAAAUUUGCCUGAUCUUAUUUGGUAGAUUUCAAGUUGCUUUCAGCUGUGACCGUAAUAACUGUUUCAGGAACUGGAGAAAUAGUGGAAGUGCUAUUGCCGCGCUGCAUGUAAAGCACAGGAGCAAAGAUUCGAUACAAUUAGACCCUUUAAGCUACAACGUGGUUGCAUUUGGGGAGUCUGAUACCCACAUAGGUAUCACAUUUUCUCUGCCUGGGGUUAAUUUGUUCUUAUUAUUCUAGGUAAGAAAUUGAUAGCUUGUUAUGCUUGGUACUCAUUCUGAAAUCCCUGUGUGUCCACCAGGCAGACUUCAAGCAAUCUCUACCUACUAUUAUAUCUGCCAAAACUACCAAUUAUUUUUCAAUGUCAGAAGUUAUUAGAGCCACUGGCAAAGCUCAUGGUUGAAUAUGACAUUUUUCUGCUUUUCCCUCUAAGAAGUUUUUGAGAAUGUUAAUGUUGAAGUAUGCAGGCUGGACCUACCAGCAAGUUUAACACGUUAAUUAGGUUAAAAAGAAUAUUAAAAGGCAAUAAUUAAAUAUUUCAAUUAUUUUGUAAUUAUAAUGGUAUCAAAUAAGAUGCAAAAGAAGUUGAUGCUUAUUGGUGCUUAAGAGAAUUACAAUACUGGUUUUAUGAGCAUCUUUUCUCUGCAACAGUUAAACUGCCUCAGAGUUUGUGAAUUGCUGCAAUUCCUGGAAUGGAAACAGGAAUUAGGGUCACUGGUUGAUUGGCACAGGAUCUUUCCAUCGUUUCUGCUCCUGACCUCUCUCUCUUGCCUUUCCUUCCCCCAGACACCCUCUUGGUUUCCAUUCCUUUAGUUCCCUCUGCUUUAGAACACAGAUUACAUGUUGGAAAGAAAAAUGGAUUAAUGGUAAAAUUUCUAAAAGCUAAAUUGUACAGUGGGGUCUCACUUCCUAGAAGAAACUAUUGGUAAUAUUUCUUUCUAAAGGUAAUAGUAUUAAUUGUAUCUGGUUUUCUUCAAAACUUAACUAUAAUUUCCUUGUCAGGGUGCUCAGUAGCUCUUGGUUUGACUUUGGGCUAAGGGAUGUGAAAUUUUAGCUCCUUCCCACCACCUGUUUCCCCUCACUCCCACCCCCAGCCAAUAUUCUUCAUAAGCAAAAAUUAUGGUUAAGCUAAGCUGAAUGGGUUAUAUUCAAAGUAAGUACAGACGGCAAAUAGGCAGACAAAUACAGGAAUGUCUUUACAAUUAGCCCACCAUGGACUGUUUUGAGUCUCUGCAUGGUUUCCAUAAUUCAUUAUGAUGUAUCUUUAUGCUCUUUCACUGCUCUUCUGUGCGUUGGAGUUUAGCAAUUCAGUGAGACUGGGGAGUGUCUCAAGAAUGGAACCUUUGCCUUCAAGGUUGGGUCAUCAAAAAUCCCUCUAAAGGAUCUAACUGUAAUGAACUGUUUUUAUUUUUGCCAUUAGUGCAAGUAUCAACUGGCAGCCUCAAACAGCUUUAGACUAUGUCUCAGGUCUCUCAUAGUUAUACUUAGAACUGCUCUUUCUUGAAGCUAAAAGAGGUUUUUGGAGUAAAGAUCUGCUUCAUGUCUGCUAGCAUGGUAUCUGCUGUUCAACCUAGUAUAGAGCAUGUGAAAUGCAACUGUCCUUUAAUGGAAUUCAGCCAAACUCCAAAAAUACUGAGUUGCUUCUAGUUAUCUAAAGUAGUACAGAAUCACUAUCCCGAUGAAGAAGUGGGGUUUUUCAGAAGAUUGUAAACUCAUUUCCAUGGCACAGAUACAAAUCAUCGUCAGGACUUGUUAGCCAGUCCAUGUCUCAUUGAUAGGAUGUAGCCUGCCAUCUGCAUAGAUGGUUUAACAUGGUGCUGUUUUUGAAAACUUGCUGUGGAAAUAAAUUUGACAGACGAGUAGUUAUUUGUAAAGCUGUCCUAGAAAGAGGUUAAUUCUUUUGGUAUAUGAAUAUUUCUCCUCCAAUCCUUUUAAUUAGGUGGUUCAGCUUAUCUUGUAUUUUCUGAGUCAUAACUAUACUCUAGGGCCAAGACCUACUAUAAAAUCUGGGGUCCUAACCAGAGAGUUGUUUAGAUCAAUAUGAUAUGCUUUGCCAACAUGAUCUAAGAAGGUAUUCAUUCUUUCUGGGUUUGAGAAGAGUUGACGAAAGUGUAAGAUUAUACUCUCAUGCUAAAAUAAGGUAUAGGCUAAGUGAAAUACUGUAAAUGGGUUGGUUAGAAUUAAAGUUUAGAACUCUAAAUCUUAUGCUUAUUUUUAAAGUAAAAAGUUGCCUCACUGUCAUGAAAUCCUGUUACUUUCAUUAAAAAAAAAAAUCCUGUAAAAUGGUCAAAUUGGAUAAUGUAAGAGAUAAUGAUGGCUUUGAGGCAUUUCAUACUUUACCAGUUUACAUUUGGCUAGCAGACUGGUAAGGUUUAGGGUUCUCUCCACUAAUGGAAAAUUAAAUGCUAAACGUCCUAAGAAUUAUGUUGUUUUCAAGGCUUUGACUCAGAUUUGUACUUUGAUGUAUGAAAGUGAAUAUCAAACUUGUUUAUAGAAAAGACUAUAUAGAAAAAUAAGUCUGUGUUGUGUAUAGUGAUACAUGUUUUAUGUUUACCCAAUGCCUGUACUAAAUCUUGUGCUUGGCUUUGAAUUAUAUAUGUGUUUACCUAUGACUUUUUUUUGAAAUAAACAGAACAGUCAUCUAAAAACAUAAGGUUUUGGAAAGGAGAUGCUUUUUCAAUUCUUACCAUCUGAUUAGGUGGAAUGUUUUAUAGACUUUUGGUGUUGAAAAAAAAAAGUUUGAUAACAAUGCAUUUUGCUUGGAAUACCCCCCAAUCCAGAAAAGUUGGUGACUUCUCUCCAUUGUAUAUAUGUACAUAGUUUUCAUUACUAGAUUGUAAGCUCCUCAAGGGCAGGAAUUGUUUUAUCUUUGUUGUUCCUGCAGCACCUAAUGUAAAGUGCCUUGCACAGGGUAGGUGCUCAUGACGUGUAGAAUGAGUGAGUAACUUCCUGCCUCAUCAGGAUGAAAUGUGGUUCACUUCCCCUGUGUUCAACACUACAAAGCUACUCCUGCCAGAAGAGGGCAGAGUUCUUUCUUGGGUUUGAACUGGCUUUUUUGGGUUGAACCAGAUCAUCCCACAUCCUUAGCACUACUUAACCUUCUUUUCCUGAAGAUUACAUAUCAGUGUCCUGCGUUUUUAUCUAAUAUUAGAGCUGAGGUUCCUAGGAAAAUUUUGAAGUGGGGAAGAUUAUGGAGAAAAUGAAAUGGAAAUUUGGGGAGGGUGGUUUGUCAGUAUAAGGCCCUGUGGGGUAAUCAUAUUUUAGUUAUUACUUGUUAAAAGGGUAACAGAACCUCUGUUUCUUUACCAAGUCGCUGGUUGGCCAUUUCUCCAAUUGAUGAACUACCAUUGGUUUUAGCUCUUUCUCAUUUGGGAUUCCCCUCAAUUGCUUACAUGAUUCUGGUACUUAGAGUCUAAUAGAGUUGCUGUGAAUAUGUAGUGCUGUACAUAAUGGCAGUUUUGUAAAUGUGAGAUAACCUUGAAUAUGUUGUGGUUUGUAUACAGAGCCAUUAGUAUUGUUAUUUUGGCCACUUUUUUAUUCAAAAUAAAUAACAUAAUUAUUUGUAUA